UACGUAGGGUGCGAGCGUUGUCCGGAAUUAUUGGGCGUAAAGGGCUCGUAGGCGGUCUGUCACGUCGGGAGUGAAAACUCAGGGCUUAACCCUGAGCCUGCUUCCGAUACGGGCAGACUAGAGGUAUGCAGGGGAGAAUGGAAUUCCUGGUGUAGCGGUGAAAUGCGCAGAUAUCAGGAGGAACACCGGUGGCGAAGGCGGGUCUCUGGGCAACAACUGACGCUGAGGAGCGAAAGCGUGGGGAGCGAACAGG
RNAcentral lists this ribosomal RNA (253 nucleotides) under uncultured bacterium. Its description in RNAcentral is "partial 16S ribosomal RNA". It matches the Rfam family "Bacterial small subunit ribosomal RNA", at positions 524 to 776 of the family's 1533-position model. The record is from RNAcentral.